This 253-nucleotide ribosomal RNA is filed under the name uncultured bacterium. RNAcentral's name for it is "partial 16S ribosomal RNA". It matches the Rfam family "Bacterial small subunit ribosomal RNA", at positions 524 to 776 of the family's 1533-position model. The record is from RNAcentral.
UACGUAGGCAGCGAGCGUUGUUCGGAAUUACUGGGCGUAAAGAGUGUGUAGGCGGUGCUAUAAGUUCGGCGUGAAAUCUCCCGGCUCAACUGGGAGGGUGCGCCGAAAACUGUAGUGCUCGAACGUGGGAGAGGAAAGCGGAAUUCCUGGUGUAGCGGUGAAAUGCGCAGAUAUCAGGAGGAACACCAAUAGCGAAGGCAGCUCGCUGGGACGGUACUGACGCUAAGGCGCGAAAGCGUGGGGAGCGAGCAGG